Long non-coding RNA from Myxocyprinus asiaticus (Chinese sucker), 5107 nucleotides. RefSeq lists it as uncharacterized. The record is from RefSeq and is a predicted model, not a curated record. The transcript is spliced from 3 exons. Lineage: Eukaryota; Metazoa; Chordata; Actinopteri; Cypriniformes; Catostomidae.
GCAAAUAUCCCAGAUAGCAUGUAGUAAUUGGCCCGAACUCGGUAGCCUUGCUAGGCUUAUGGCUCAGACUCUGCGUCAGCAGGUAUAAUUCAGGCAGAGUGUUGCCCGCAGCCAGGCUGUCUCACAAUUUUUUUUAGUUACGGCGUUAAAGCACUGGGACGAUUCUGGCUCCACGUUGCUGGGCCAGUUCAGGCCACUUGGUCUGGGUCUCUUCUGGUAAUGAUUCAACUUUGAUUGAUCUUUAGGCUGCAUUAUACUGUAUAUCUACCAUAAAAUAUACAUCAUUCACCUGUGAUGUCUAAUCAAUUGUAAACUGCAUGUUUAAAGGAAUAGUUCACCCAAAAAUGAAAAUUGUCUCAUUAUUCACUUACCCUGAUGCCAUCCCAGAUGUGUAUGACUUUCUUCAGCAGAACACAAAUGAAGAUUUUUAGAAGAAGUUAGAGCUCUGUCAGGUCCUUAUAAUGGAUGUACACGGGUGCCAGCACUUUGACGGUCCAAAAGUCACAUUUAGACAGCAUAAAAGUAAUCCAUUCGACUCCAGCCGAUCAAUGAAUGUCUUCUGAAGCGAAUCGAUAGGUUUAUGUAAGAAACAAGUGGAUAAUUAAAACGUUUUUAACUUUAAAUCAGCACUUCAAUCCAAGGCUCCCAACUCUCAUAUGACAUUCUUUCUUCUGUUGUAAAUAAACGCCUGUGGCAGGCCAGGUGGGGCGGAGCAAGGACGGAGAGGAGCGAGGCCGAGGUGUGCUCCUGGGGCAAAUGAUCUCGCCCAGCUGUGAGUAAUGACGGCGUGAGUAGGCGGGGGAUUAAGCCAGGAGCAGAGCUGCAGUUGGGAGAGUCAAAGUGGAUUUAGAUGCGGAACGGGAACAAUGGAUUCAGUAGUGAGUUUGGAAUCGGAUAUAAGGAAAGCCUUGAUAAAUAAAGAAACAGUACUAGCAAUUUUCUUUGAUAUUGAAAUGGCUUAUGAUAUGUUAUGGAAGGAAGGUUUGCUGAUAAAAUUAGAUCAGAUUGGAAUAGGUGGUAGGUUAUAUAAUUGGAUUAAAGAUUUUUUAAUAGAAAGAAAUAUAAAAGUGAAGAUUGGAGAAUAUAUAUCAGAAUAAAUGGGGAUUUAUAUUCUCUGUGGAGAAAACCAAAUAUAUUUUCUUUACAAAUAAAAAGAUAAGUAGAGAUAAAUCUAAAAUUAUAUAAUAAGGAAUUAGAACAAGUUAAAGUGAUAAGAUUCCUUGGAAUGUGGUUUGACACGACAAUUACAUGGAGUACUCACAUAAAUAAGAUGGAAGAGAAAUGUAAGAAGAUAUUAAAUGUAAUGAGGUGUGUUUCAGUUCGUGAAUGGGGGGCUGAUAGAAUGGCACUGAAAACCAUUUAUUCCACAAUGAUAAGAUCAAUACUAGACUAUGGAUGUAUGGCUUAUGGUUCAGCAUCUUAAUCACAAUUUGGAAAAUUAGAGAGAAUUCAGUCACAAGCAUUAAGAAUUUGUUGUGGAGCUUAUCCUUCUUCUCCAGUACCAGCAUUACAGGUGGAGAUGGGAGAGAUGCCAAUCCACUUAAGAAGGAAGCAACUGAUAUUGACAUACUGGACAAACUUAAAAAGUCAGAAGGAUAAUCACCCUGCAAAAAAGGUACUAGAGGCAUGUUGGGAACAUGGGAAGGGGAAAAUUAAUAGUUUUGGCUGGAUUAUUAAGGAUUUAGUGCAGGAUAUGAAAUUAAACAAGUAUAAUGUUACCCCAGUGGUAAUAUUAUCAUCAGUAACUCUGUGGAUCUUACCACAGCCAAACGUUGAUUUAUUCCUAUUGGAAGCAAGACAAGGGUCAAAAUGCAUUAGAGUCUGAAUUAACAAAGGAGUAUUUAUGGACUAAGUAUGAAAGUUAUAUACAGGUUUUUACAGAUGCAUCUAAAGAUCCAGGGAAAGGUCAGGUGGGGGUAGCAUACAUCAUCCCAAGACUGAAAGAGGCAGAAGGAAAAAGGAUAUCAGAUCAAGUUUCAGUGUUUACAGGAGAAUUACUAGCAAUUUUGCUAGCAAUGAACAAAAUAAAAGAUAUGGGAUUAAACAAAACUCUCAUAUGUUCAGAUUCAAGCUCUGCUCUGUUAAGUCUGGAGGCUCAACAGUCUGAAACUAGACAAGAUAUAUUGAUGGAGAUUAUUCAGAUAUGAUAUAUAAUGCAGCAGACAAAUAAGACGGGUUCCUGCGCAUAUUGGAGUAUCAGGGAAUGAGGAAGCAGAUAAAUUAGCAAAACAAGUUAUGGCAAAGGAAAAUAUAGACAUGCAAAUAAUGUAUAGUAAAUCAGAAAAAAGGAGUUAAAUCAUAAAUGGCAAUUUUAUUGGGAUAAUGAACAAAAGGGCAGGCAUCGACAUUUAAUACAACCAUUAGUAGGAGGAGGAAGGAAUUCAGGUGGGAGGAGAAAAGAAGAUUGUAUUUUAUCUAGACUCAGACUGGGACAUACAGGACUUAACUCAACAAUUUAUAUAAUAGGAAAACAUCUUACAGGAUUAUGUGAUUGGUGCGGAGUUAGAGAAACAGUGGAACAUGUAUUAAUACAGUGUAACAGAUAUACAGAGGAAAGAAAUAAACUAACAGAUGAAUUACAGAAGAAAGGAGAACAGCAAUUAACCUUAAAGAAGCUUUUAAAUCCAGUAAGAGGGGAUAGUCUAUUAAUACAAUUUCUGAAUAGAAUUCGGUUAACUGAAAGAAUAUAGCUAGGUUUUUUUCUUUUCUUUUUUCCUUCCUUCCUCCUCUCUCUGGGCAGUGAGGGACUUGGGGCUGAAAAUGGAGGAGCUGAACACGCAGCGCCAUCGGAAGCACAAGUCCUAAAAGGUCUGGGGAGAGAAGGAAAAGAGUCUCUGAUCCGUAACACACAGUGGAUGGCGGUAGUGCUCUAUUUUAGAAUGCGAGCCGCCAAUAAAAAAGAAGUAGUAGUAGUUGGGAGAGAGACGCCGAGGAGACAUCUUGAAGCUGUGUGUGUUUAUGUUGUGUGAUGUGGUGUUUGGAUUAAAGUUUGUUCAAUGUGCAUCCGGCUCCAAAACGCUAUCCGGGAGAACUCGCCACUGCCAUCCGCCAGGGGGCACGGGAGCCUAAGAAGAAUAUUUCUGUCUCUUCUCUCUCUCCCUCUCUUUCCCUCUUUCUCCCUCCCUCUUGUGCUCUCUCCGUCUCUUGCUUACCCACCCUCUAGAGUGGUGCCUGAGUAGCAGAGGCGGGGAAAACCAUACGGCGCUGGGUCGACUGGAAGAACCAUGGUUCCUCUCCAGAGUGGGAGGAGAGUAAGUACAGGCCGGAUAGGUCUCCGGCCUGAAUCAGGCAAUGGGGGAGUGUGGCAGGCCAGACAGGGUGGAGCGAGGAUGGAGAGGAGCGAGGCCGAAGUGUGCACCUGGGGCGAAUGAUCUCGCCCAGCUGUGAGUGAUGACGGCGUGAGUAGGCGGGGGAUGAAGCUAGGAGCAGAGCUGCAGUUGGGAGAGAGAUGCCGAGAGAGACACAUCUUGAAGCUGGGUGUGUUUAGUUUGAUGUGGUAUUUGGAUUAAAGUUUGUUGAACGUGCAUCCAGCUCCAGCUUCCUCCUUUCCCGACCGAACAGAGGUCUUUUCACAGCACCAUGAAAUAUGCUUUGAUUUGAUUAAAAAUUACAUAAAAAUGGGAGAAGUUUGAAAAAGACAACUUGGGUAAGCAUCGUUGCACAUUUACAUUUAGCGUAUUAAUUUAGCAGAUGGUCUUAAAGGGACAAAAAGCACUUUAACUUCUUAAGCAAAACUGCCGCGAUCGAUUAGCUUAGUUUAUCUCAAUACUGUUUUGUUCUCAGAACUGCAGUCAAUAAACUAGAUAUUUUUUCAUGUUUAAUCUGUGAAUUGUUGAAAGUGGUGUGUUUUGAGCGCCCUACACUACGCUGCACUGAAACUUUGUCGAGGAACACUCUGAUGAGGAAGAGGAUGAUGAUGGAAAAAAGAGCAGGUUUGUUUGUAUUUGUAUGUUUUUGUUUCCGCCGUCUGUACCAAAGUCGUCAUUCUUAUUUCAUAAAGGCAUUUGUAUUAAGAAAUAGUUACAUUUUUCCUAUUUUUUCGGGCAAAAAAGGCAGGUAAGUUUGAAGAGGAUUAGUUUGUACUGGUCUUUAUUUCAAAAUAACCUCAAAUUCUCUGACUGAACUAGAAGGAAGCAUCCAGACAAUAAAGUCAUUGGUAAGUUGUAAAUUUGUAUGUAAAUAUAAGAUACAGGCAGUGCAUGUCAGCAUGACUUUACCAAGUAAAUGCCAUGUUUUAUUCCAUGUUUGUUUUCAGGAGGUGUAAUAUGCAAUAACUGGCUGAAUCUCAACAGAAGAGACAUGUUCAGCAGAUCAUAGGGAAGCUUUGGCAGAUCCUUGGCUAAAGGAGGUGUAAUAUGCAAUAACUGGCUGAAUCUCAACAGAAGAGACAUGUUCAGCAGAUCAUAGGGAAGCUUUGGCAGAUCCUUGGCUAAAGGUACAGUAAAACUCCAGAAAAACUCCUAAACAAAGAAUUCGCUGGAUAAAGAUUUGGAAAGACAUGUUGCACAAUAAUCAUGAAAAUCUCCUGAUAGAGAUGCUGGAAGGUUGUUGCUUUACUCAAAAAAUUAUCCCUUAUAAGUUCGAUUCAAACAAAUGGUUUAAAUUAUGUAAAUAAGUUUAUGUUUGCUAAGUAUAAAAUUAGUUCAAUUAAUGUCAAAGAAAAUAGCUGCUUUGCCUUUUACCAAACUGUAUUGUUUAAAAUACAUUAGUUAUUAUACUGUAUAUAAGUUCAUACUCAUUUACAUUUUAUUCACAUAUAUUCUGUAUUCAUAAUAUGUACUUUAUUUAACGAUUACUCAGUUCAGUGAAUUUGUUUAAAAAUUACUCAAUUUAAAGAUUUAAUACAUCAAUGUGAGUUGUAAAUUGUCUUUCUUGCAUAUUUAUUUAUAUAGGCAUAAUUACUGUUUGUAAAACAUUUUCAUGCACAUGUAUUAUAUGCUAAAAUAUUUGUAAAAUGUUGUACUUUUUAAAACUAUACUUAUUCAACAAUUGCUGUUUGUGUAAUGUUGUAAAUAAACAUUCUUCUUGCAUUCAUGCAGUGCUUGAAGUGGAAGAAAAAAGCACAGGUACUCUCCUUGUUAUUAUUAAACUUGACUUUUUUUGGGUA